ACGAACGCUGGCGGCGUGCCUAAUACAUGCAAGUCGAGCGGAAUGAUGAAGAAGCUUGCUUCUUCUGAUUUUAGCGGCGGACGGGUGAGUAACACGUGGGCAACCUACCUUGUAGAUUGGGAUAACUCCGGGAAACCGGGGCUAAUACCGAAUAAUCCAUUUUGCUUCAUGGCGAGAUGUUGAAAGACGGUUUCGGCUGUCACUACAAGAUGGGCCCGCGGCGCAUUAGCUAGUUGGUAGGGUAAUGGCCUACCAAGGCGACGAUGCGUAGCCGACCUGAGAGGGUGAUCGGCCACACUGGGACUGAGACACGGCCCAGACUCCUACGGGAGGCAGCAGUAGGGAAUCCUCCACAAUGGACGAAAGUCUGAUGGAGCAACGCCGCGUGAGUGAAGAAGGUUUUCGGAUCGUAAAACUCUGUUGUAAGGGAAGAACACGUACGAGAGUAACUGCUCGUACCUUGACGGUACCUUAUUAGAAAGCCACGGCUAACUACGUG
This 499-nucleotide ribosomal RNA is filed under the name uncultured bacterium. RNAcentral describes it as "bacterial SSU rRNA". It matches the Rfam family "Bacterial small subunit ribosomal RNA", at positions 29 to 507 of the family's 1533-position model. The record is from RNAcentral.